This 497-nucleotide ribosomal RNA is filed under the name uncultured bacterium. RNAcentral describes it as "partial 16S ribosomal RNA". It matches the Rfam family "Bacterial small subunit ribosomal RNA", at positions 28 to 507 of the family's 1533-position model. The record is from RNAcentral.
GAUGAACGCUGGCGGCGUGCCUAAUACAUGCAAGUCGAGCGAACGGACGAGAAGCUUGCUUCUCUGAUGUUAGCGGCGGACGGGUGAGUAACACGUGGAUAACCUACCUAUAAGACUGGGAUAACUUCGGGAAACCGUAGCUAAUACCGGAUAAUAUUUUGAACCGCAUGGUUCAAAAGUGAAAGACGGUCUUGCUGUCACUUAUAGAUGGAUCCGCGCUGCAUUAGCUAGUUGGUAAGGUAACGGCUUACCAAGGCAACGAUGCAUAGCCGACCUGAGAGGGUGAUCGGCCACACUGGAACUGAGACACGGUCCAGACUCCUACGGGCGGCAGCAGUAGGGAAUCUUCCGCAAUGGGCGAAAGCCUGACGGAGCAACGCCGCGUGAGUGAUGAAGGUCUUCGGAUCGUAAAACUCUGUUAUUAGGGAAGAACAUAUGUGUAAGGAACUGUGCACGUCUUGACGGUACCUAAUCAGAAAGCCACGGCUAACUACGUG